RNAcentral lists this long non-coding RNA (385 nucleotides) under Drosophila guanche. The record is from RNAcentral. Lineage: Eukaryota; Metazoa; Arthropoda; Insecta; Diptera; Drosophilidae.
CAAAACUUUAGAAGUUAUCCAUAGAAAACUGAAACGAUAUGAACGCUUUUUUUGACAUAUUUUUGUGCCUGUUGGCUGGAUUCUUCUGUUGUCUGAGCCAGAACCUUAACUCAACGUACAUUUAUUUGUGCAACCCUCCUAGUCCCAUUUGUGUGCUCUAUCAAGCCGGAAAACCAGCAGCUGGAAAUUCCUGGAGGUAAGCACAUUGAACCACAUAAUUUCGAAGGUGAACCUAUGCCGGACAACCGCUGGGAAGUGGGGCUCGGGAGAAAUGCUGUCAGCAGAAAGCGAACUUCAGAAAUUAAGAACUGCAUAAAAAAACGUACAAGUGAAUAGAGAAUUCAAAUAAAAUGACCGUCAUACGGGAAUUGUAAAAACACAAAAA